UGGGGAAUAUUGGUCAAUGGAGGAAACUCUGAACCAGCAACGCCGCGUGAAUGAUGAAGGUCUUCGGAUUGUAAAGUUCUUUUCUAAGGGAAGAAGAAAGUGACGGUACCUUAGGAAUAAGCCUCGGCUAACUACGUGCCAGCAGCCGCGGUAAUACGUAGGAGGCAAGCGUUAUCCGGAAUGACUGGGCGUAAAGGGUGCGUAGGUGGUUUGGCAAGUUAGUAGCGUAACCCCGGGGCUCAACCUCGGAACUACUACUAAAACUGUCGGACUUGAGUGCAGGAGGGGCAAUUGGAAUUCCUAGUGUAGCGGUGGAAUGCGUAGAUAUUAGGAGGAACACCAGUGGCGAAGGCGAAUUGCUGGACUGUAACUGACACUGAGGCACGAAAGCGUGGGGAGCAAACAGG
Molecule: ribosomal RNA, 407 nt
Filed under: uncultured bacterium
Lineage: Bacteria
Description: bacterial SSU rRNA
Rfam family: Bacterial small subunit ribosomal RNA
Source: RNAcentral